RNAcentral lists this non-coding RNA (29 nucleotides) under Mus musculus (house mouse). The record is from RNAcentral. Lineage: Eukaryota; Metazoa; Chordata; Mammalia; Rodentia; Muridae.
UCACAGUGACUGACUCACCUGUGAGACGA